AUAUCAAUAAGCGGAGGAAAAGAAACCAACAGGGAUUGCCCUAGUAACGGCGAGUGAAGCGGCAACAGCUCAAAUUUGAAAUCUGGCCCUAGCGGUCCGAGUUGUAAUUUGUAGAGGAUGCUUUUGGUGAGGUGCCUUCCGAGUUCCCUGGAACGGGACGCCGGAGAGGGUGAGAGCCCCGUACGGUUGGACGCCAAACCUCUGUAUAGCUCCUUCGACGAGUCGAGUAGUUUGGGAAUGCUGCUCUAAAUGGGAGGUAAAUUUCUUCUAAAGCUAAAUACCGGCCAGAGACCGAUAGCGCACAAGUAGAGUGAUCGAAAGAUGAAAAGCACUUUGAAAAGAGGGUUAAAUAGCACGUGAAAUUGUUGAAAGGGAAGCGUUUGCGACCAGACUUUUUCCAGGCGGAUCAUCCGGCGUUCUCGCCGGUGCACUCCGCCUGGUUGAGGCCAGCAUCGGUUUCCUUAGGGGGAUAAAGGCCUGGGGAACGUAGCUCCUUCGGGAGUGUUAUAGCCCCUGGCGUAAUACCCCUCGGGGGACCGAGGAACGCGCUCUGCAAGGAUGCUGGCGUAAUGGUCGUCAACGACCCGUCUUGAAACACGGACCAAGGAGUCGAACAUUUGUGCGAGUGUUUGGGUGUCAAACCCUCACGCGUAAUGAAAGUGAACGGAGGUGAGAGCCCUUACGGGUGCAUCAUCGACCGAUCCUGAUGUCUUCGGAUGGAUUUGAGUAAGAGCAUAACUGUUCGGACCCGAAAGAUGGUGAACUAUGCGUGGAUAGGGUGAAGCCAGAGGAAACUCUGGUGGAGGCUCGCAGCGGUUCUGACGUGCAAAUCGAUCGUCAAAUCUGCGCAUGGGGGCGAAAGACUUAUCGAACCAUCUAGUAGCUGGUUACCGCCGAAGUUUCCCUCAGGAUAGCAGUGUUGUCUUCAGUUUUAUGAGGUAAAGCGAAUGAUUAGGGA
This 958-nucleotide ribosomal RNA is filed under the name Daldinia eschscholtzii. RNAcentral's name for it is "partial large subunit ribosomal RNA". It matches the Rfam family "Eukaryotic large subunit ribosomal RNA", at positions 40 to 1027 of the family's 3401-position model. The record is from RNAcentral. Lineage: Eukaryota; Fungi; Ascomycota; Sordariomycetes; Xylariales; Hypoxylaceae.